UAAGCCGUGGUCUAGCUAGGUAUGAUGACGGGCUCCAGACCCGUUGGGCGAGGGUUCAAAUCCCUCCGGCCCCA
RNAcentral lists this transfer RNA (74 nucleotides) under Candidatus Bathyarchaeota archaeon. RNAcentral describes it as "tRNA-Trp". It matches the Rfam family "tRNA". From Rfam's summary of the family: Transfer RNA (tRNA) molecules are approximately 80 nucleotides in length. Their secondary structure includes four short double-helical elements and three loops (D, anti-codon, and T loops). Further hydrogen bonds mediate the characteristic L-shaped molecular structure. tRNAs have two regions of fundamental functional importance: the anti-codon, which is responsible for specific mRNA codon recognition, and the 3' end, to which the tRNAs corresponding amino acid is attached (by aminoacyl-tRNA synthetases). tRNAs cope with the degeneracy of the genetic code in two manners: having more than one tRNA (with a specific anti-codon) for a particular amino acid; and 'wobble' base-pairing, i.e. permitting non-standard base-pairing at the 3rd anti-codon position. The record is from RNAcentral. Lineage: Archaea; Thermoproteati; Candidatus Bathyarchaeota.